RNAcentral lists this unclassified non-coding RNA (527 nucleotides) under Hevea brasiliensis (rubber tree). Lineage: Eukaryota; Viridiplantae; Streptophyta; Magnoliopsida; Malpighiales; Euphorbiaceae. The record is from RNAcentral.
CGCGAGGCAGAUAACGCAAUCGAGCUGAGAAAGGCAAUACAUCAAAGUACUGGAUUAGAUGUCGUUGUUUUGUCUGGUGAAGAGGAGGCAAGGUUUGUGUACUUGGGUGUACUUCAGUUUUUACCAGUUUUUGGGAAAAGAGUUUUGGUUGUGGAUAUUGGAGGUGGGUCUACAGAAUUUGUCAUAGGGGACAGAGGAAAUGUUAUUUUGGGGGUCUCUUUGAAGUUGGGGCAUGUGGGUUUGACUCAGAAGUCACUUAAUAGUGGUAAUGUUUCGGACAUGAGAAAGUUUGUUAAGUUAGUUAUAAGAGAAUCCGGGUUGAUUGAGAAAGUUAAGGAGUGUGGUUUUGAGGUGGUUGUUGGGACUUCAGGGACUGUUAGGGCAAUUGAGGAAGCUAUUUUUUAUGGUUAUGGACAAGAUUUGGUUGAUAGUAAUGAGGUUUUGUUCAGGAAUUGUAAUAGGGAUUGGAAGUUUAGCAGAGGAGAGUUGAGGAGUGUUGUUGAUAGGUUGUGUAAGGAAGGAGUGGC